AGCCAGCUGAACGUAUUGCACCUCCCUUCCCAUAGGACUAGGGAGCAACCUCCCAUUAAGGCUAGGUAAACACUCCACACAGUGAGCUGCGCCACAGCCCUAUGUACAGGCUUUGAGCAGUAACUAUCUGGCCCAUAUACAGCGUGGAACUGGAUCAAAGAGGCGUCUUCUCCAUCUCGCCGGGCCUCCUUAGUUUACAAAGGGUGUGACCGCCGACUCGAGCCCUGGGAAGCAACUGUUAAUCUAUACGCCGCAGCCGAGGUGCUGGGACGCCGAGAGCCAAGUGCAUGUCAGUCUGCAGAUCCCAGCUCAUCCUUGGCAGGAUCCAGAACCUGUAGGAUGGCAGCACAGGUGCAUCUCUCGGCCUGUCGCCCUAUGACUCCCAGACACACACCAGUCCGGAGCCCGUAAGUGAGCCCUUGGGAGCCGCUGGGCUGCGUUCCCCAAUCGUCUGCAUAACCCGCCCGCAGCCCGCGCUGCCCCGUACCUCGUGCUCCAGCUUGUGCAGGAGGCUGCCCCACAGCCGCUCCGGGACGCCCGAGGCGCGCAGCGCGGGACCGUGCAGCGCCACGAACUCGUCCAGCAGCCGCUCAUUCAGCCUCUCGGUGCGGCCCGGA
Non-coding RNA from Myodes glareolus (Bank vole), 617 nucleotides. The record is from RefSeq and is a predicted model, not a curated record. Lineage: Eukaryota; Metazoa; Chordata; Mammalia; Rodentia; Cricetidae.